UACGUAGGCAGCGAGCGUUGUUCGGAGUUACUGGGCGUAAAGGGUGUGUAGGCGGUUGGUUAAGUUUGGUGUGAAAUCUCCCGGCUCAACUGGGAGGGUGCGCCGAAUACUGAAUGACUAGAGUGCGGGAGAGGUGAGUGGAAUUCCUGGUGUAGCGGUGAAAUGCGUAGAUAUCAGGAAGAACACCCGUGGCUAAGGCGGCUCUCUAGUACGGUACUGACGCUGAGACGCGAAAGCGUGGGGAGCGAACAGG
RNAcentral lists this ribosomal RNA (253 nucleotides) under uncultured bacterium. Its description in RNAcentral is "partial 16S ribosomal RNA". It matches the Rfam family "Bacterial small subunit ribosomal RNA", at positions 524 to 776 of the family's 1533-position model. The record is from RNAcentral.